UAGGUUUUCCUGUACAUAUAGUUAGAUGUAUUUUUUCUAAUAAUCUCGAUGCUUUAUUUUGGUCAAUAAAUGCCAAACAUUAACAAAAUUUUGCAUUGCUUUAUAUGUACAAUUAUAUAAAUUCUGUUUAUAUUAAAAAAUAUAUAUAUUUAAUAUGUUGGGAUAGGCGUAUUAAUUUCUUAAGGAUCUUCUCCCUACGGGAUAGAAAUUAUUACGUCUUAAGGAUCGUCUCCCAAUUAUAAUAUUUUUAUUGCUUGUUAUUUUUUAUUUUUUAUUUUUAAAAUGAAUUGGUUGACUAAUAAUUGUGUAUAAUUGUCUAUUUUCCUAUUGGUAAUUGAAUUUUUUUUCUUUUCAUUAUUUGUUAUAGUUUGAAUAUGUCUGAUAUCAACAAAAGAGAAUUCACCGAGCUUGCUCUUGAUGGUGGUAACUAUUUGACUUGGGCUUUGGAUGUUGAAAUAUACCUCGCCUCAUGUGAUUUGAGUGAC
Molecule: long non-coding RNA, 485 nt
Filed under: Salvia miltiorrhiza (redroot sage)
Lineage: Eukaryota; Viridiplantae; Streptophyta; Magnoliopsida; Lamiales; Lamiaceae
Description: long non-coding RNA (SMIL_LNC002129)
Source: RNAcentral